GUGAAUCAUCGAAUUUUUGAACGCAAAUUGCGCUUUUUACGGAAGGCAUGUCUGUUUGAGGGCACCAUUUAACAAUUAAUGUGAAUUUGGUGUGCACACGUUGAUUAGCUUUCCAAAUUUAUGUAUUAUUUUUGGUGGCGUAGAAUAAAAAGCGAGAUGCUUUUUUUCAGUUCGAGUGUAGUAAAAUUUUUUCUUGCUUGGGUUGUGAUAAGCGUGAUAGUGCAAUGGGUGUGUCGAUUUUAUGUAAUCGCUUUCUCA
This 258-nucleotide unclassified non-coding RNA is filed under the name Paraglomerales sp. RNAcentral's name for it is "partial contains 5.8S ribosomal RNA and internal transcribed spacer 2". The stretch from base 1 to 65 matches the Rfam family "5.8S ribosomal RNA", at positions 84 to 154 of the family's 154-position model. Lineage: Eukaryota; Fungi; Glomeromycota; Glomeromycetes; Paraglomerales. The record is from RNAcentral.